RNAcentral lists this ribosomal RNA (230 nucleotides) under uncultured Alicycliphilus sp. RNAcentral's name for it is "partial 16S ribosomal RNA". It matches the Rfam family "Bacterial small subunit ribosomal RNA", at positions 551 to 774 of the family's 1533-position model. Lineage: Bacteria; Pseudomonadati; Pseudomonadota; Betaproteobacteria; Burkholderiales; Comamonadaceae. The record is from RNAcentral.
AGCAGCUCACUGGGUGUAAAGCGUGCGCAGGCGGUUUUGUAAGACAGAGGUGAAAUCCCCGGGCUCAACCUGGGAACUGCCUUUGUGACUGCAAGGCUGGAGUGCGGCAGAGGGGGAUGGAAUUCCGCGUGUAGCAGUGAAAUGCGUAGAUAUGCGGAGGAACACCGAUGGCGAAGGCAAUCCCCUGGGCCUGCACUGACGCUCAUGCACGAAAGCGUGGGGAGCAAACA